RNAcentral lists this transfer RNA (75 nucleotides) under Gemella haemolysans. RNAcentral describes it as "tRNA-Phe(gaa)". It matches the Rfam family "tRNA". Rfam says of the family: Transfer RNA (tRNA) molecules are approximately 80 nucleotides in length. Their secondary structure includes four short double-helical elements and three loops (D, anti-codon, and T loops). RNAcentral also lists the same sequence under 1 other name. The record is from RNAcentral. Lineage: Bacteria; Bacillati; Bacillota; Bacilli; Caryophanales; Gemellaceae.
UGCCUUGAUAGCUCAGUUGGUAGAGCAAUGGAUUGAAGCUCCAUGUGUCGGCAGUUCGACUCUGUCUCAAGGCAU